Molecule: non-coding RNA, 277 nt
Organism: Mus musculus (house mouse)
Lineage: Eukaryota; Metazoa; Chordata; Mammalia; Rodentia; Muridae
Source: the annotation of a RefSeq genome assembly
GGUGUCCAGUGUGAGGUGAAGCUGAUAGGGUCAGUGCAGCCUGGAGGGUCCCUGAAACUCUCCUGUGCAGCCUCUGGAGUCACUGUGAGUGACUACUGAAUGACCUGGGUCCUUCAGGCUCCAAAGAAGGGGCUGGAGAGGGUGGCAAUAAUUUUUAAUGGUGGAGGUAGCACCUAUUAUCCAGAAACCAUGAAGGGCUGAUUCACUAUCUACAGAGAUGAUGCCACAAACACACUUUACCUGAAAAUAAACAGUCUGAGGUCUUAGUACACAGCCC